AUGAACAAGCUGGAGCUGGACGACGGCGUGGUUGCCGGCAAUGGCGACAUCGGACAGCGCCCGGCCAUGGCAACUUUCAUGCCACCAGCUGCCACUCAUGUUCCUGUUGCCUCCACCAUUGGUACUCUCAUCCAGAUAUGGUUGUUAGCGACCACGAUGGGUAAGCGAGGCGAUCGUGGUGGCGACCACGGAGCCGACCGCGGUGCCGAUCGCGUCGACAAGUUUCUGCCGGCCGCGCCUUCCCUUCGCGGUGGGAGUCGUUUCUGGGCCCUUGCGGCCUCGGACUCCGACGACUCCGAUGAGGAGGAGGCCGCCGGCGGCGGAUCUGCAGUGGCGGCGUACUCUCCGACGCCGAGUGACAAGGUGUGCGAGGUGUUGGGGGCUGGCUACUCGGAGGAGGUUGUGGCCGGCUUUGUUGAUGAGGUCGUCCCGCCGGAGGAUCCUGCUUGGGUCGGGGUGGGCAUGACGGACAAGGUGGAGGUCGUCCGGCGAGUGGCACACCGCCGGACGGCGCCGACGUCGACACGGCCUUGGAAGGGUCCUCUACCAAAGGUUAUCUUCAAGGCCACUACACUCAUCCGUAUGUGGUCGCUACUCACUCCGACGGAGGCCAGGGAGCAUUUGGUUACUGGUUCUAUCCGAUGGGAGACGGUAGCUCGGGAUAUCUUCAACCGGUUUGGAUGGCGGUCAUGUAAUAGGAUAGGUGUUUAG
RNAcentral lists this ribosomal RNA (711 nucleotides) under Triticum aestivum (bread wheat). RNAcentral describes it as "partial small subunit ribosomal RNA". Lineage: Eukaryota; Viridiplantae; Streptophyta; Magnoliopsida; Poales; Poaceae. The record is from RNAcentral.